GGUAACACGAAAUCGUACCCCAAACCGACACAGGUGGUCAGGUAGAGAAUACCAAGGCGCUUGAGAGAACUCGGGUGAAGGAACUAGGCAAAAUGGUGCCGUAACUUCGGGAGAAGGCACGCUGAUAGGUAGGUGAAGUCCCUGCGGACGGAGCUGAAAUCAGUCGAAGAUACCAGCUGGCUGCAACUGUUUAUUAAAAACACAGCACUGUGCAAACACGAAAGUGGACGUAUACGGUGUGACGCCUGCCCGGUGCCGGAAGGUUAAUUGAUGGG
RNAcentral lists this ribosomal RNA (275 nucleotides) under Enterobacter hormaechei. Its description in RNAcentral is "partial 23S ribosomal RNA". It matches the Rfam family "Bacterial large subunit ribosomal RNA", at positions 1630 to 1888 of the family's 2925-position model. The record is from RNAcentral. RNAcentral also lists the same sequence under 2 other names. Lineage: Bacteria; Pseudomonadati; Pseudomonadota; Gammaproteobacteria; Enterobacterales; Enterobacteriaceae.